GGGGGAAUCUUGGUCAAUGGGCGCAAGCCUGAACCAGCGAUGCCGCGUGAGUGAUGAAGGCCUUCGGGUUGUAAAGCUCUGUGGGGAGGGACGAAAGAAUCGGUUCUAACAGGACCGAAGUUGACGGUACCUCCUUAGCAAGCACCGGCUAACUCUGUGCCAGCAGCCGCGGUAAGACAGAGGGUGCAAACGUUGCUCGGAAUCACUGGGCGUAAAGGGCGUGUAGGCGGGAUGGCAAGUCGGGCGUGAAAUCCCUGGGCUCAACCCAGGAACUGCACUCGAAACUGCUGUUCUUGAGUAUCGGAGAGGAAAGCGGAAUACCUGGUGUAGAGGUGAAAUUCGUAGAUAUCAGGUGGAACACCGUGG
This 366-nucleotide ribosomal RNA is filed under the name uncultured bacterium. RNAcentral's name for it is "bacterial SSU rRNA". It matches the Rfam family "Bacterial small subunit ribosomal RNA", at positions 355 to 714 of the family's 1533-position model. The record is from RNAcentral.